Molecule: long non-coding RNA, 2659 nt
Organism: Serinus canaria (Common canary)
Lineage: Eukaryota; Metazoa; Chordata; Aves; Passeriformes; Fringillidae
Exons: 4
Source: RefSeq, a predicted model, not a curated record
GAGCUUUCAACAUGUGAGCUAGUUCUGUCUAUCAUUUAGAAAAGACAAGAGGGGAUGGUGCUGUGACUCAGGCAUUUGGGAAUGGAUUUUUGGCAGGACUUCUUGUUUGUUUUUGCAGGGAAGCUUAAUACUAGACAUCAAGUGCAGAAGCAUAAAGAGAGGGUGCUGUUUUUGCAAAUUUUCUUUUGAAAGUUCAGGAUUACAGCAAUGGAAGGCUGCUGCAGGCAAGUUUGAAUCCUCUUUUUCAACAUCAUGAAUGACUGGAAUAAAUUCUACUGUGAUUCAGAAGCCAACGCUUUAAGCUGUUUAUCAGAGGUUGCAUUACAGCAAGAAAGUGGCUGGGAAGGGUAUUUGUUCUGUUUUCAUAAAAGAUUGGAUUAGAAGAGAAACAGAUCUCAUUCCGAAAGUUAACUUUAGUAUUGAUGAUAUUACUAUCUGGGGUCCCCAACAUAAGAAGGAUGUGUUGAAGCAAGUCUAGAGGAUGGAAAUGGAGCUGAGUGCUGGAGCUUGUUUCCUAUGAAGACAGGCUGAAAGAGCUGGGGCUGUUCAUCCUGGACAAGAGAAGGCUCCAGGGACACCUCACAGCACCUUUUCCAGUACCUAAAGGGGACCUACAAGAAAGCUGGAGAGGGACUCUAUUUUAAAAAGAAAUAUGACUGACUGAACUUUAAAAUUGAACACGGAUAAAUGACUCCACAGGGAAAGUGAGGAACAGACUGGAAACCAUUCCCUAACCCCAGCACUGCAUGGAAUUUACAGGAACUAUCAGGAUACAAAACUUAAAAGUCAGCAGACUGUUCUCUGACACCAAAGACACAGAUCAGUGAAGAGGAGGAAACACUUUCUGUUUGCUCAUCUGUGGCAUUCAGACAGCACUACCAAAACACUCAUCCUUCGGCAGACAACUGUGGAAACUCUUUUCAGAGCAGGCAAGAUUGGGGAAAAACUGCUGUACCAGGAUUCCCCGCUCUUCUUGCACGGAGGAAGAAUUACUAACAGAGUCUCUGAGAGUCCCAAGAAGACUGGCAGAGGUAAAUGAUUCAGAACCUCACCAAAGACACCUCCCUGCUGUGAGUUCAGAUGCAUGACAGGGAUCCUCUGUUUCUGACUGUUCCCAGAUCUCAAACCUGAGUCACACAUGCCCUCACUCUCAAAACACCUCCCCCAAAAUGAUGGGAUGUACUAGCAGCUUUCUGAGUUAUACAAAAGCCAAAGACCUGAACUAACAGAACACAACAGAUGCAUGAGAAAGAGGAUAAGGCAAGAUUCAAUCUAUUUGUUCCACAUUUGCUUAUAAAGCUCCUAAACAUGUUUAUUCUACUAUUUCAGUUCCCCAAAAUGCUUCUUUUAGCCAGAGCAUAAACAUGGCAUUAACAAAUGUAUAAAUAUACACACAUGUACAGGGAGAGAGUGAGCGUGUGUGCACGUUUUGCAGUAUAUUUAUCAUCCCUGUCUUAGCACUAAAAAAAUAACAUACAGGAGAACCAUGGAUUCUAGAGGAAAUACAGAUCUUCAGGCACUCCACAGUAGAUUUGUUACUGAAUGGAGAGAAGUCAGAAGAAGAGAAUAAAAUUUUAUUUUGAUGCAUUCAAGAAAAAACAGAACUAUUUACAGGACUACAUUUGCUCUUUUCAUUGGUCAAAUGAAAAAUUUAUGAACUCCCCAAGAUUUCAGCAAUGAAAUCACUAAAGGAUCUAAAGCUGCUAAAACUAGUAUCUAAAAUCAGUCAUACUGGUUUCAGUAUUAGGAAAAAAAAUCUGAAUUAUGAACAUAUAUUUUUAAAAAAAGCUCAAAAUUGCUUUGCAUUUCUGCUGUCCCUCAAAGAUAGUGCAGCCUUUCCCCCUUUUUGAAUGCCUCUGACAUUUAUUUUUCUGACACUGAGGUGGAGUUAAACCAGUGGAGAUAAAAUUUGGGGCAUUUUCUUGUUCUUCUAAAUGAAGCUAACAUUGAGAUUUUGCAACUUUGUUUGUAAAAUAGUUGUAGUUGCUCUUGAAUGUAAAAAGAGGAGCUGAUGAUCCUUCUAACACCACCCCAUGGGACCAAAGAACUUUAGUUUUUAUGAGACUCAGCAGAAGUAGAAAAAGAAGGUCCUUGGUGGUGGUUCUUUUGCAAGGUUUUAAUAAUGUAUUUGUUAGUGCAAAGAUAAAUGGGUUCUCAAAUGAGUAGACAUCUGAGAUUUCAAAUCAAGCCAGUCUAAUUUAUUUUUGUUUUGGUUUUUUGCUUCCAUAUCUAAUUUCCAAACUGGUAUGGGCUUUGUCUUCUGCACCUCAUAGAGCAUUUAAGCUAAGUAGUAUUAAAGAAAUACUACACUUGAUGUGCCCUAGGAACUGGGAUACCCCUUCUUAAACUUGGGAGAAAGCACUGAUUUCUACAGCUUGUAAAUAAAAAAUUGGAACUGAAACAGAGAGGCAGAAUGAUGUAAUUAUAAACUUUGGUUUCUCAUGAUCUACUUGGGUGGAAAAUAGAACAGGUUUUCCUGCUCCACUGAGGUAUUAUUCUAGGUGUUAUAGUUCAAGUGAACACCAGUAACUUUGAACUUCUAGUAAAUUAGGCAUCCUUAGGUCUAGGCAUGAUUUCCAAAAGAAAUUUAUAGCCUUUAUAAGCAAAAGCCUAUCUCUGUCCCUAGUAUCUGUAAACACUCAACAUGAUUUCUCUCUAA